RNAcentral lists this ribosomal RNA (253 nucleotides) under uncultured bacterium. Its description in RNAcentral is "partial 16S ribosomal RNA". It matches the Rfam family "Bacterial small subunit ribosomal RNA", at positions 524 to 776 of the family's 1533-position model. The record is from RNAcentral.
UACGUAGGGUGCGAGCGUUAAUCGGAAUUACUGGGCGUAAAGCGUGCGCAGGCGGUCUGUUAAGACCGAUGUGAAAUCCCCGGGCUCAACCCGGGAACUGCGUCCGAUACUGGCAGGCUUGAAUCCGGGAGAGGGAUGCGGAAUUCCAGGUGUAGCGGUGAAAUGCGUAGAUAUCUGGAGGAACACCGGUGGCGAAGGCGGCAUCCUGGACCGGUAUUGACGCUGAGGCGCGAAAGCCAGGGGAGCAAACGGG